UGAGGAAUAUUGGUCAAUGGUCGGGAGACUGAACCAGCCAAGCCGCGUGAGGGAUGAAGGUACAGAGUAUCGUAAACCUCUUUUGUCAGGGAACAAAGACUGGGACGCGUCCCCGGAUGAGUGUACCUGAAGAAAAAGCAUCGGCUAACUCCGUGCCAGCAGCCGCGGUAAUACGGAGGAUGCGAGCGUUAUCCGGAUUUAUUGGGUUUAAAGGGUGCGCAGGCGGUCUGUUAAGUCAGCGGUCAAAGCCCGGGGCUCAACCCCGGCCCGCCGUUGAAACUGGCAGUCUCGAGUUGGAGAGAA
This 303-nucleotide ribosomal RNA is filed under the name uncultured bacterium. Its description in RNAcentral is "bacterial SSU rRNA". It matches the Rfam family "Bacterial small subunit ribosomal RNA", at positions 355 to 656 of the family's 1533-position model. The record is from RNAcentral.